RNAcentral lists this ribosomal RNA (305 nucleotides) under uncultured bacterium. RNAcentral describes it as "bacterial SSU rRNA". It matches the Rfam family "Bacterial small subunit ribosomal RNA", at positions 336 to 638 of the family's 1533-position model. The record is from RNAcentral.
CUCCUACCGGAGGCAGCAGUGAGGAAUAUUGGUCAAUGGGCGCGAGCCUGAACCAGCCAAGUCGCGUGAGGGAAGACGGUCCUAUGGAUUGUAAACCUCUUUUGUCGGGGAGCAAAAGACGCCACGCGUGGCGUUCCGAGAGUACCCGAAGAAAAAGCAUCGGCUAACUCCGUGCCAGCAGCCGCGGUAAUACGGAGGAUUCAAGCGUUAUCCGGAUUUAUUGGGUUUAAAGGGUGCGUAGGCGGUCGGAUAAGUUAGAGGUGAAAUCCCGAGGCUCAACUUCGGAAUUGCCUCUGAUACUGUUC